Molecule: microRNA, 22 nt
Filed under: Capitella teleta
Lineage: Eukaryota; Metazoa; Annelida; Polychaeta; Capitellidae
Description: cte-miR-2694
Source: miRBase by way of RNAcentral
UGCUUUGAGGCAUUGUCCCUCA